UUUUUCUUUUUCCUUUUGUUCAGUUGUAUCAGAACAGACCAAGGAAAAGCAGGAGACCGUUGGCGGCUUUUCUUCCAGCGUUGGAAAAUUUUUUAUUACGGGGCUGUAAGGAAGAACCAAUCUGCGAGCAGCGCUCCAGAUAGUGAGAUAGACUCACGUACCAUCAGGUGGUUUAACUUGGCAUCUGACCGGGGAGGUGGCCGCAAAGACCGUGCCAAGACUAAAGAAGCAUUAACCACGGCAUCACAACAUUCCACUUAGCAGCAGCGGCUGACUUCAUAAAGAAGUGGCACGAGGAAGUGGAAGGGACAGCAGGCAGUGGGAGAGGUCAAACUUAAUUAUUUGAAGUUUUGUUUGUUUUUUUGUUUGUUUUUUUUUUGGGGGGGGGGGGGGGGUCACAGUUUGGUUGUGAAUAAUGUUGGUAUUGUUGCUAUUAAGGUUAAGGUUGUUAGUUAAUUGUUUAUUCCUGUUAAUUGUUCAUUAUGCUGUUUUACUUUUCUGUUGUGAUCUUUGUAUUUUGAAUUUGAAUUUUAAGAUUAUAUUAAUUUGUAAAUAAAUAACAAUGUUUUAUGCUACACACCUGGUGUUCUUGAGCCUUACUGCUUGGUCCCUGACAAUUACAUUAGUUAUGCUUCUGUUACACUCUAAAUUACGGGUUUAAAAGGACUUCGUCUCUUCUUCAUAUGCCAUAUGCUAUUGUCAUAUGACAUAAUUACACUAUUUUAUAUUUACUCAGUUUACACUCAACAUGCACAGGUAAACCCAAGUGAUGUCAUGUCGCGCUUCAUUCACUUUUUUCUGGAGUUAAUCCACCGUGAGUAGAGUACACUUCAUUACAGAUUUUGACUGAUGAGUGUACAGUGAACGACCAACAAAGCAGCAUCUCCUGUCAUAACUUAUGAUUUCUGUUUUUUGUUUUUUUUUUAAACAACCAGUUAUGAUGAUGCAACCACAGUUCUAGAAAUUUAUAUCCAGAGAUACUUUUAUUAGUUUGAAUUUAGUUAUGGAAAAGAUAAAGGUUAGCCCAGAACUAAUUCAGAUACAGCAAAUAUUUGAACAAAAUGGCUAGAAAGUGAUCCGAUUUGGAGCUGGCCGAGUGCCGGCCCAGAUAAGAAAGGACGCCGGCCCGGGUCCAUUUUACAGAUCUGGCCCAGAAUUUAUGGAAGCUCUGGGCCGUAUCCAGUACAGAACUGAACCGGAUCUGGCCCACCUUCGGACAAAUGACUACAAAAUAAUCUCAUCUGUUCUGGAGCUGGCCCGGUGCCGGCCCAGAAGUGAAAAAACGGAUCUGCACCGUUAUUGGCCUGUUGUGCCAAAGGACACCGGCCCGGGUCCGUUUUACAGAUCUGGCCCACAACUUAUGGAGGCUCUGGGCCGGAUCUGGGCCAUAUCAUUUUUGCUAUCUGGGUAAGUACAGAGGUAUGCGAUUUGAGACACACCAAGAGAGAGGGAGAGAGAGUAGUUGGCAGUUACACGUUUAGUUUGGCAGCAAGUGCAUUUAGUGCUAAAUUACUUAGCAGCAAGAUGGGUGCUAGAAAAAAGAGGAAAGGUGGAGCAGAGAGGGGAAGCGAGAGAGAAAGAAGGGUAGAUAAACAUGCUAGCUAGCUAACGUUUGCUAGCUAGCUAACGUUUGCUACCUAGCUAACGUAAAUAAUGUUACUGAUGCAUCAUCAUUGUUCCCUGUCAAUGUUAAAGCAGCCAAGAAACUGGACAAUCAAUGGUAAAAGUGGUAGUUCCCUUUCUGAUUUCCUCAAAAACAUUGAUGGCAUAAUUAGCAUAUCUAGUCUAAUUAAUGUGGUCAAUAUUAUUUGAAAAUUCAUUCAUUUUGGUAAAAAUCAGUGAGUUCAUACUUUGAGCUCAUAAUUUAAAAUUAUUGAGACAACACAACGUCUUCUGUCACACUAUUCAGGCUAUUGUAAUUUAUUGAAACUUACAGAUUUAUGUUAUUUAGCCUAAUGUUUGUGUUGGUUAAAGGGCUAUUUUAACCUUUGAUGGAUAACUGUUAGUGUAUAUCAGUAAACUGAGGAGGGUAUUGUGCUCUUGCUCUGUUCUUUGACUAGGUGGAGACAGUUGUUAACUGUAUUAUAUUGGUACAUUAAAAGAUAUGGUGUGCUGUGCUGUUGCUUGUUUCUUUUUGAAGGUGGAGAGAGUAGCAUCGGUGCCACAGUAGCACAGAAGCACACUACUUCAGAGCAACCUGCAGGUGGAGAGAGCUGCAUGUGGCCACAUUCAUUUAGUAGUAUAAACGCAAUGUGUCCUGGGCGACAUUGAAGGACUGCCUACUCAACUGACAUCCUCUAUUUUCUGGCAGACUAGACACAGGAUCCUCCGUCCAAAGCUGUUCAACUUGUUUGAUAACAGGAUAAAUAUUUCAUGUGAAUUAAAAACAUAACCCACGUCCCAUUUUUUGCUGUUUUUCCUGUUUCCCUAACCAGUUUCCCUCUUCAAAUCGACAAUAAGAAUAGAUAUUAAACCAUUAAUUUUUCGCUCGUCUGUCUAAAAAAAUAUGUCAGAAGCUAAAUGUUGCUGGAUAGUCUCCUCUGUCCUGUCAAGUUGCUGCACUGCUCGACAUAAUGGAGCUCGGGAUUUAUCAGGACAGCUGCUUUGGAUGUGUAGAAGAACACUUAGAACAAUUAACAUUAGAUCCUGACCCGUGCUGUUGGUAUGUCAGAGAUUUAAAUAAUCAAUGAAGUAAUGCUGUUGUGUCUUGUGUGUAAAGGCGCACAGUGUCUGAAUGGAGAGCUACGGGGAGAUCGCUGCAUAACGGAUUCGGACCCCCGGUCUGGUUAAUAACGAACAAAUUUGGUCUUUGAAAACGGAAAUGAUGUCCGUGUUUAUUUGCAUAUAGAGCGGGGAAUUGA
Molecule: long non-coding RNA, 2861 nt
Organism: Thunnus maccoyii (southern bluefin tuna)
Lineage: Eukaryota; Metazoa; Chordata; Actinopteri; Scombriformes; Scombridae
Exons: 5
Source: RefSeq, a predicted model, not a curated record